UCCUGCUGUGGUGUCUCUAGGGCCCUACGUGACUAUAGGCCAUGUCCCCUAACCGCUGAAACUAGGACUUAAGUGACUAUAGGCCAUGUCCCCUAACCUUUCAAACUAGGGCCUUAAGUGACUAUAGGCCAUGUAUGUCCCCUAACUGCUCAAACUAGGGCUUUAAGUGUGUGAGCUUUUGCAUUCUGGAUCAGUUGGAGGUUCUACAGGUGUUACAGAGUAGGGUACUACAGUAGAAAAGCAGGCAUGGAUAUAGCCAUGGCAACCAGGCAUGUAUAGAGCCAUGGCAACCAGGCAAGUCUCUGUAGUAGAAUAUGAUGAUCUAUAGCAGGGGUGGCUAACCAGUCCAGCUCAAAGAACCACAACAAAACCCAACACCAUUUCGAAGAGCCACACUGUUACCAGACCAUCAAUGGCAUGGAAUAGUUCAACAUAACACAAGGGGCGAAUCUAGGUUCCCACUUUUUGGGGGGUGGCGGGCUAAGCCUCUAGAUAAAACCUAUUAUUUUUCCUGUGACCCAGCAAGACUAGGGGGGUCUGGGGGCAUGCUCCCCCGUAAGACAUUUUUGAAAAUAACCUUUUAAAUAGUGUCCUCUAGUGGGUUUUAGGAAGAGAGAUCAAAUUUAGAUUUAAAAUAUGGCACAACAAUAAACAUAUUGAAGACAUCUGCUGAGAUAGGUGCUAAUUAUACUGUAGCAUGGUAGCGAUUUGCAGCUCGAGUGAAUAGGUUAACGUUGUAGGCUAGAGUUCACUAGCUAGUUAUAGCUGGCAAAGCUACUGAGUAGGGUAGCAUACCCACAGGAUCAAUGAACCGGCAUGAUAAAAGAGAGCCACGACAUCUAUAAUUAACUCGAGAUGAUUUAACCAUUUAGUUUCUUUUACUAUUUUAAACUUCAUGUGCUAUACCUUUAUAUCCGGCAGCUGAUUAUGGCAGCUUUCACCAGCUUGGAUCGGACAGUCGCUCCAAGUCUGUUUAAUAGACGUUAUCACCGUCUGUCUGCACGCUCGUG
Molecule: long non-coding RNA, 1010 nt
Organism: Clupea harengus (Atlantic herring)
Lineage: Eukaryota; Metazoa; Chordata; Actinopteri; Clupeiformes; Clupeidae
Source: Ensembl